This 74-nucleotide microRNA precursor is filed under the name Bombyx mori (domestic silkworm). RNAcentral describes it as "mir-2807 microRNA precursor family". It matches the Rfam family "mir-2807 microRNA precursor family". Lineage: Eukaryota; Metazoa; Arthropoda; Insecta; Lepidoptera; Bombycidae. The record is from Rfam by way of RNAcentral.
UUAACUUGAAUUUGUAUGGAAUUGGAAAGUUUGCCGCUAGGGGCGCUGUUCAAACUCCAUACAAAUUUAAGUUA